This 499-nucleotide long non-coding RNA is filed under the name Olea europaea (common olive). RNAcentral's name for it is "long non-coding RNA (OEUR_LNC000992)". Lineage: Eukaryota; Viridiplantae; Streptophyta; Magnoliopsida; Lamiales; Oleaceae. The record is from RNAcentral.
UUCAUUCUAAACAAAACAAGCAAGUUUUUCUGCAACACCAUCACUGUGAUGUCAUGAGGUUUCAUCUUUGAAUAUAUUUCUGUUUUUGGCAAUUUUAGAUCAAUGACGAUGAUCCUAAUGCUACAAAAACUAAGGAAAGAGUAGAAGCAAUCUUAAUAUUUUGCAGGAACUCCGAAACCUUAAAACAGAAGGUACUACGUUUUCCAAGUGGAAUCUAUCUAGGAUAUAAAUAGAGUUGGUCACUUGUACCAAUUUUACUAUUCAUUUAUUAUUAUUGUUAUUAUUAUUAUUUUAUUUUAUUUUUCUGUGUAUCUUGCAGGAUCUAAACAGAGUAUUUUAGCCUUGGCCUCGUUCUAAGGCAACUCAUUGAAAUCAAAUGAGUUCAAAAAAGUUUACUUGAAUCAGUAGGGAUUAGCCCGAUUAGCCCAUCAUUGGCAAUGGGAUGCCCCUUGAAAAUGUCAGAUAGCCAAGACUAAUUAUUAAAAGAAUAAUUUUCGAC